GAUGAAGAACGUAGCGAAAUGCGAUACGUAAUGUGAAUUGCAGAAUUCAGUGAAUCAUCGAGUCUUUGAACGCACAUUGCGCCCCCUGGUAUUCCGGGGGGCAUGCCUGUCCGAGCGUCAUUUCAACCCUCAAGCCCCGCUUGGUGUUGGGCCCCGCCCGCUGUGGCCGGCCCUAAAGACAGUGGCGGCGCCGCCUGGCCCUCAGCGUAGUACAUCUCUCGCUCCAGGGUCCGGUGGCCGCCUGCCAGAACCCCCCAACUCUGUGGUUGACCUCGGAUCAGGUAGGGAUACCCGCUGAACUUAAGCAUAUCAAUAAGCGGAGGA
RNAcentral lists this unclassified non-coding RNA (324 nucleotides) under soil metagenome. Its description in RNAcentral is "partial contains 5.8S ribosomal RNA, internal transcribed spacer 2, and large subunit ribosomal RNA". The stretch from base 1 to 120 matches the Rfam family "5.8S ribosomal RNA", at positions 35 to 154 of the family's 154-position model. The record is from RNAcentral.